Molecule: small RNA, 47 nt
Organism: Candidatus Magnetoglobus multicellularis str. Araruama
Lineage: Bacteria; Pseudomonadati; Thermodesulfobacteriota; Desulfobacteria; Desulfobacterales; Desulfobacteraceae
Rfam family: Acido-Lenti-1 RNA
Source: Rfam
CCUGGGGUUAAAACCCCAGGCUAUUAUCUGACGUCCCUAUCGGGACU